Molecule: ribosomal RNA, 164 nt
Filed under: uncultured bacterium
Lineage: Bacteria
Description: partial 16S ribosomal RNA
Rfam family: Bacterial small subunit ribosomal RNA
Source: RNAcentral
UGGGGAAUCUUCCACAAUGGACGCAAGUCUGAUGGAGCAACGCCGCGUGAGUGAAGAAGGGUUUCGGCUCGUAAAGCUCUGUUGUUAAAGAAGAACACGUAUGAGAGUAACUGUUCAUACGUUGACGGUAUUUAACCAGAAAGUCACGGCUAACUACGCGCCAG